GCCGGGAGUCCGGUGAACGGGCAGAAGCAGGGCCAUGCCCAAGCCACCCCCAAGAUCCCCCUGAACCUGCGCCUCCAUCACGACCCAUUCAGGUGCCUCCAGGAGCCCAGACACCAGCCCCCCACCAUGGGCAGCAAGGAGCGCUUCCACUGGCAGAGCCACAAUGUGAAGCAGAGCGGUGUGGACGACAUGGUGCUUCUUCCCCAGAUCACUGAAGACGCCAUCGCUGCCAACCUCCGGAAGCGCUUCAUGGACGACUACAUCUUCACCUACAUUGGCUCCGUGCUCAUCUCCGUAAACCCCUUCAAGCAGAUGCCCUACUUCACCGACCGUGAGAUCGACCUCUAUCAGGGCGCGGCCCAGUAUGAGAAUCCCCCGCACAUCUACGCCCUCACAGACAACAUGUACCGGAACAUGCUUAUCGACUGUGAGAACCAGUGUGUCAUCAUUAGUGGAGAGAGUGGAGCUGGGAAGACAGUGGCAGCCAAAUACAUCAUGGGCUACAUCUCCAAGGUGUCUGGCGGAGGCGAGAAGGUCCAGCACGUCAAAGAUAUCAUCCUGCAGUCCAACCCACUGCUGGAGGCCUUCGGCAAUGCCAAGACUGUGCGCAACAACAAUUCCAGCCGCUUCGGCAAGUACUUUGAGAUCCAGUUCAGCCGAGGUGGGGAGCCAGAUGGGGGCAAGAUCUCCAACUUCUUGCUGGAGAAGUCCCGCGUGGUCAUGCAAAAUGAAAAUGAGAGGAACUUCCACAUCUACUACCAGCUGCUGGAAGGGGCCUCCCAGGAGCAAAGGCAGAACCUGGGCCUCAUGACACCGGACUACUAUUACUACCUCAACCAAUCGGACACCUACCAGGUGGACGGCACGGAUGACAGAAGUGACUUUGGUGAGACUCUGAGUGCUAUGCAGGUCAUUGGGAUCCCGCCCAGCAUCCAGCAGCUGGUCCUGCAGCUCGUGGCGGGGAUCUUGCACCUGGGGAACAUCAGUUUCUGCGAAGACGGGAACUAUGCCCGAGUGGAGAGUGUGGACCUCCUGGCCUUUCCCGCCUACCUGCUGGGCAUUGACAGCGGGCGACUGCAGGAGAAGCUGACCAGCCGCAAGAUGGACAGCCGCUGGGGUGGGCGCAGCGAGUCCAUCGAUGUGACCCUCAACGUGGAGCAGGCAGCCUACACCCGUGACGCCCUGGCCAAGGGGCUCUAUGCCCGCCUCUUCGACUUCCUCGUGGAGGCGAGCCAUCAACCGUGCUAUGCAGAAACCCCAGGAAGAGUACAGCAUCGGUGUGCUGGACAUUUACGGCUUCGAGAUCUUCCAGAAAAACGGCUUCGAGCAGUUUUGCAUCAACUUCGUCAAUGAGAAGCUGCAGCAAAUCUUUAUCGAACUCACCCUGAAGGCCGAGCAGGAAGAGUACGUGCAGGAAGGCAUCCGCUGGACUCCAAUCCAGUACUUCAACAACAAGGUCGUCUGUGACCUCAUCGAAAACAAGCUGGUGAGGGCUGGGUCAACUUUGGCAAGGGUGUCUCACUGGGCCCCUGAGCUGAGUCUGGAAGAUGGGCGGAGGGCCAAGGGCAUUAUGGCAUCCUCAGGCCCUUCUCUACCCUACAGUUAGGCCUUCCAGCGACAGAGCACAACCAAAAUGUCCCUUCUGCCCCUCAUCCAUUAAUUCCGCCUAGUUGUCCACCUUUCGCUUAAUCA
RNAcentral lists this small RNA (1692 nucleotides) under Pongo abelii (Sumatran orangutan). Its description in RNAcentral is "retained intron". The record is from RNAcentral. Lineage: Eukaryota; Metazoa; Chordata; Mammalia; Primates; Hominidae.